UUAACAAAAUAAAAAAUUGGGGGAGGUUUCGGUGGAUCUGAAGAAACAACGGAGGUGGAGAACAGAUCCGACUUAUUCGCCACAAGGUUUCCAAAGACCGUCGAAAAGAAAACCUCUGGUUUUCAAUCACCGUUGCUUCUAUGCAAUAUCAAAAAGGUUUCCUAGAUUUAUUCCAGAUCUAUGCGGAAUCACAAAAGGUUGGGAUCUUCUCCUUUGUUGAAUCGAUUUGUAAAAAAACGAUUGACAUGGAAGUUAAAGGAUUCAUAUGUCGCAUCCAAGCAAAGAACGUUAAACAGAAGUUCAGACAACAAGGUAAGCAAGAACAAAAGAGGUAAAGGCAAAGUGUGAUCGUGGAAUCAAGGCAAUGAAGAGG
Molecule: long non-coding RNA, 373 nt
Organism: Camelina sativa (false flax)
Lineage: Eukaryota; Viridiplantae; Streptophyta; Magnoliopsida; Brassicales; Brassicaceae
Source: RefSeq, a predicted model, not a curated record